Molecule: ribosomal RNA, 309 nt
Filed under: uncultured eukaryote
Lineage: Eukaryota
Description: partial 18S ribosomal RNA
Rfam family: Eukaryotic small subunit ribosomal RNA
Source: RNAcentral
CCCUUAGAUGUUCUGGGCGGCCCGCGCACUACAAUGGCGCUUUCAGCGAGUUCCUAUGUUGAAUUUCCUGGGUAUUCUUGGAAGCGGCGUCUUGACUUGGGAUAGAUCCUUGUAAUUGUUGGUUUUGAACGAGGAAUUCCUUGUAAUCGCGGUUGAUCAGCUCGCGUUGAAUACGUCCCUGCCCUUUGUACACACCGCCCGUCGCUCCUACCGAUGAAUCGUCCGGUGAAGUUCACAGAGUGGCGGUUCGUGGAGUUGCUCGCGAAGUGAAAUGGACCUCACGAUUUAGAGGAAGGAGAAGUCGUAACA